RNAcentral lists this ribosomal RNA (411 nucleotides) under uncultured microorganism. RNAcentral's name for it is "bacterial SSU rRNA". It matches the Rfam family "Bacterial small subunit ribosomal RNA", at positions 9 to 426 of the family's 1533-position model. The record is from RNAcentral.
GAGUUUAAUCGUGGCUCAGAUUGAACGCUGGCGGCAUGCCUUACACAUGCAAGUCGAACGGUAACAGGUCUUCGGACGCUGACGAGUGGCGAACGGGUGAGUAAUACAUCGGAACGUGCCCAGUCGUGGGGAUAACUACUCGAAAGAGUAGCUAAUACCGCAUACGAUCUGAGGAUGAAAGCGGGGGACCUUCGGGCCUCGCGCGAUUGGAGCGGCCGAUGGCAGAUUAGGUAGUUGGUGGGAUAAAAGCUUACCAAGCCGACGAUCUGUAGCUGGUCUGAGAGGACGACCAGCCACACUGGGACUGAGACACGGCCCAGACUCCUACGGGAGGCAGCAGUGGGGAAUUUUGGACAAUGGGCGAAAGCCUGAUCCAGCAAUGCCGCGUGCAGGAUGAAGGCCUUCGGUUGU